RNAcentral lists this long non-coding RNA (235 nucleotides) under Elaeis guineensis (African oil palm). Its description in RNAcentral is "long non-coding RNA (EGUI_LNC026199)". Lineage: Eukaryota; Viridiplantae; Streptophyta; Magnoliopsida; Arecales; Arecaceae. The record is from RNAcentral.
UGGCCACUUCAUCUUUUAGGUCAGUUCCUCACUUCUCAUCCAUGCGUGAGUCUAGUUUGUCCCCCUACACCUAGAGCUCGGGUGACGACUUUAGGAAUAUGGAUCCAGAGUCCGAGAUAGCUUAUUCUUUGGGCAGAUCCAAAGUUUCAGACUUUGAUCCAUUUAGAGUAGACUUCAUCCUCACUUCGAAGGAUUUGGAGAUUAUUAUGUUGAAAUAUCAAGUCCCAGUCGAAUU